UACACGAAAGAGGGGGUAAAAACCGGACUGGGGCUUCAAGAGUGUGGGGACUAUAUUUGUAUUUUCUCCCAGUGUAUUCACAGUGCAUCUGGUUCACCAAAGGAACUAUACUCUGGGGGUGAUUUUAUCGAUGUGUGGCAGAAGGACUAUGGAAUGGCGAGCUACUUGUGCAUCUCUUCUGUUCCGUGUGGUCAUGUUGGCAGCUUGAAAUUUAUCAAGUGGGAAGCAUUUACAUCAAAGAAAUUGGCAAGCUGGCAAACAAGGAAACAAGGAGAACUGUGUGCUCAGCCCUCCACAGUGGCAUGGAUUAUGAGGAGGUGAUGGUCCUUCCCUGCCAAGCUCCUGAGACACUGUCACUCCAGAAUCCAAAAAAGAGAUUCAGGCAGGGAUGUGGGAAAAUUGGAACCCUGCACGCUGUUGUUAGGAAUGCCAAAUGGUGCAGCUGCUAUGGAAAACAGUACGGAGGUU
Molecule: long non-coding RNA, 468 nt
Organism: Cebus imitator (Panamanian white-faced capuchin)
Lineage: Eukaryota; Metazoa; Chordata; Mammalia; Primates; Cebidae
Exons: 3
Source: RefSeq, a predicted model, not a curated record